Molecule: long non-coding RNA, 588 nt
Filed under: Cricetulus griseus (Chinese hamster)
Lineage: Eukaryota; Metazoa; Chordata; Mammalia; Rodentia; Cricetidae
Description: lncRNA (ENSCGRG00015039421.1)
Source: RNAcentral
GAGGCCUUGCAGGAUGUUUAUGGUGUGCCGGAGAAGGAGUCUUUUAGCUCUGGACUCUUCCAGUCUCCCUCUACUGUGACCCAUCCCUGCAGGCGGUCUUUGUAGCCUUUGCCUGUCAAACCGAGGGUUUCUCUACGCAGCCCUGCCUGUCCUGGAACUUUGUUUGUGAACCAGACUGACAUUGAACUCACAGAGAUCACCCUGCCUCUGCCUCCCAAAUGCUGGGAUUAAAGACAUGUAUCACCAUUUCCUGCAUAGGCUUCAACAGGCAGGAAGAGAAAGAGUGCCCAGAAGUCACCCUCAGUUCCUGAAAGCAUUGGCCCAGAAAUGACACAGAUUCCUGCCAACAUCCCACAGGCAAAAUUGCAUACAUGGCCACACCUGGAUGUAAAGGGAGCUGGUAAUGUAAAUCGUGCCUGAAUAGCUGCUUCCUGGAAGGAGUCUGUAUCACAAGGGGUGUGGACUCUGGUUGUCAUACAAUGUAUGUCAUGCACAGGUGUGCACACGAAGCUGUCUGUCUGGGGUGGCUGUGUGUGCCAAGCACAGAUGGAGAAGAGACACUUUUCAUUUGGAACAAUUAGUACUGUG